GCCUGGGUGGCUCAGUCGGUUGAGCAUCUGACUUCGGCUCAGCUCAUGAUCUCAUCGUGAGUUUGAGCCCCACGUCGGGCU
RNAcentral lists this transfer RNA (81 nucleotides) under Felis catus (domestic cat). It matches the Rfam family "tRNA". From Rfam's summary of the family: Transfer RNA (tRNA) molecules are approximately 80 nucleotides in length. RNAcentral also lists the same sequence under 4 other names. Lineage: Eukaryota; Metazoa; Chordata; Mammalia; Carnivora; Felidae. The record is from Rfam by way of RNAcentral.